Molecule: unclassified non-coding RNA, 7747 nt
Filed under: Diabrotica virgifera virgifera (western corn rootworm)
Lineage: Eukaryota; Metazoa; Arthropoda; Insecta; Coleoptera; Chrysomelidae
Description: kalirin
Source: RNAcentral
CAAGUCAAACGUCAGUCAGUAAUUCAUUUUCUGGAAGCCAAGAUGGGGAUUGAGAAAUGUAGAGUUGUAGUCGGAUGUUUUUAUAUAGUGAAUUAUUGGCUAUAAAAAUGUUUUUGUGUCUAAAAUUGUGACAAUAACGUUUGUGGAUAAUUUUAAUGGCAUUUUUUCAAGACUCUUGAAGUUUUAAGUUAAGACAUGGACGGGCAGCGCGCGUUGGAAAUGAUGCCCCUUCUUCAGGAGCGGCUGGUGAUACUUACCGGUGGACGGGAUCGUCGAGGAGGGCCGGUUUUGUCGUUUCCUGCCAAUCCUCGACGAGAACGGGCCAAACCUGAAGAUUACAGAAAGGUUUUGCAGUAUUUGAUGUCCAUACCAAGUGAUGAAGCGCGAGGAUUGGGUUUCACGGUUCUAGUGGAUAUGAGAGGAUCAACGUGGUCGACUGUCAAACCUAUCCUGAAGGCACUGCACGAGCACUUUCCACCUGGCACAAUCCAUCAAGCACUCAUCGUCAAGCCCGAUAAUUUCUGGCAGAAGCAGAGGACAUCGCUUGGUUCACAUAAGUACAAAUUUGAGACAAAUAUGAUAAGUAUAGAAGCUUUGCCAAAAAUAAUAGAUAGUAGUCAACUGACAUCUGACUUAGAAGGUACUUUGUCUUAUGAUCAUGCUCACUGGCUGGAAGUUAGAUUAGCCAUUGAAGAGUUCGCGUGGCAAGCCGCUGACCUUCUGGAUAGACUAGACGAUUUGCAGGAGGACUUAGCUAGGAACGACUUCGCUGAAGACGUUAGUGGCGCUAAACACAAAAUCGACCUACAUAAUGAAAUGAAAAAGAAAAUUAUGAAGGCACCAGUUGAUGAUAUCGAUUUAUUAGGUCAGCGCCUACUACAAAAAUCUUGCGGGCUCGACACCGGCCAAGGCGGAGGUGGUGGAGGAGGCGGUGGGGGAGGCGGCGGCGGGCGUGAACCAGAAUCUCCUAGCAAUACGAACUCAGAACUCUUAGGUACCAAAAACUUAGUUUUACAAAAUUUAGAGGCGGUUCACUCGUCACAACAACAUCUACUUCAACUGUGGCACCAUAAAAAGCUCAAGUUGGACCAGUGCUUUCAGUUGAGGUUGUUCGAACAGGAUUGUGAAAAAAUGUUCGAGUGGAUUUGCCAUAACAAAGACGUCUUCCUUCUUAACUAUGUAGAAAUAGGCCAUACUUACCAAUUAGCCAAGCAGCUUCAAGAAGAGCACCAGCAUUUCACGAUGAGCUCCAUGAACGUUUACGUGAACAUCAAUCGUAUACUUUCGGUCGCGUCGCGUCUCAUCGAAGGCGGCCAUUAUGCCGCCUCGCAUAUUCGCUCGGUCGCCGGACGGUUGGAUCGUACGUGGAAGGAUUUCGCCGCUGGGCUAGAUGAAAGAACUGCAGUGUUGGCAUUGUCUGUGAUUUUCCACCACAAGGCGGAACAAUACGUGGAGAACGUGCCUUCAUGGAAAUCUGCAUCGGAAACUGGAAAUAUUCCUUCAGAAAUAAUGAUGCUAGAAAACUCUAUACACCAACAUCAAAAUCUAUACGAAUCUAUGUGUCAGGCGUACACAGAGGUAUAUAAUUCCUACCAAUCGCUACUGAACGGUCUGGACCUCAUGCUACAAGUUUGCCAUAACUUACCCACCAGCAUUGAGGAAUCGGAAAAGGAUUCAAGUUCAACAAACGGCGAAGGAACAAAAUUCGAAAACCGACCGGGCGGUAAUCCUGCCGCCGACUACAGUGAAGGAGCUAGUCAUGUUUUAGCAGUCAUACACCAAAUAUUGAACCACCAUCGAGCAUUAGAACAAAAAUGGCAUGCAAAGAAAAUCAAACUACAUCAAAGACUGGCGUUGAGGUUGUUUCAGGAAGAUGUGAAACAGGUGUUGGAUUGGUUAGCAAAUCACGGUGAAGUAUUCAUCAGAAAGAAUACAGGCAUCGGGCGAAAUCUUCAGAAAGCCAGAGUCUACCAAAAGAGUCACGAACAUUUCGAGAACGUCGCACAGAAUACUUACACCAACGCAGACAAGCUUCUGGCCGCUGCUGAGGAACUCGCUCAUACGGGCGAAUGCGAUCCCGACGAGAUUUAUUCAGUAGCUCACGAACUGGAGGCUCACGUGACUUCUUUCGCUGCUAGAGUCGAACAAAGGAGACGAAGGCUAGAUUUAGCGGUACUGUUUUACACGCACGAGAAAGAUCUUAGCAAUUGGGUGGAUGAUCUCAGACAGGAGUUGCAAAAUGACGAGAGCGUGGCUGAAAGCCUAGAAGCAACAGAGCGGCUCUUGGAACAAACUGCCCAGCAUCGCGAACAAAGCCUUGACGCUUGUGCAUCGACAAUUGCACAAGGGGAGGCACUACUUCAAGAACUGCGGUCCAUCACGGAAAUGGACACAACUGGUUCAGUAGCUGCAAUAGAAUCUGCUCUGGACCGAUUAGCGAAACAAAGAAACGAUCUCGAAGAAUUGUGGGCUGCUCGAAAACUCCGUCUAGAUCUGUGCCUGAGACUGCGGUUGUUCGAAAGGGACGCCUUGGAAGUAUCCUCCCAGCUGGAGAUGUGGUCUGAGGAAUUACAACAUAGCGAAUUAACCAGAGAUAUUCCGAAGGCUGAGCAGUUUUUAAGAUUGCACAACGAGAGUGUUAGUCAGAUGCAAAAUACGACUUAUCAAGUACUACAACAAGGACAAGAUCUGGUACAGGUCUUUGAGAAUUCAGGGAUUUGUGUGAUGGCGGAUGCUCAGUAUAAUGCUCAGACAAGGGUUCAAGUUUUACUCGAAUUUCUUCACGAUAGAGAAAUGGAUCUGGAAGAACUAGCUGAAAUGAAGCGCCUUAAACUGGAACAAUGCAUCCAACUCGGCCAGUUCCAAAACGACGCUAACCAAGUCAUUAGUUGGAUAAGAAACGGAGAAUCAAUGUUAAUGGCCAGUUUUACCAUACCCAAUAGUUUAUCGGACGCAGAACUCUUGAAAAAGGAACACGAACAAUUUCAAGUCGCCAUCGAAAAAACACACACGUCAGCUGUCCAAGUGAAACAUCGUGCAGAUACGCUGAUAAACGCGAACCAUUACGACCCCCAAAGUAUCAAAGACAUUUCCGAAGAAGUUACCAAAAGAUGGCAACAACUGGUUACUUGCGCAGAAGAGAGGCAUAAGUUGGUGACGGCUAGUUUGAAUUUUUACAAGACCGCCGAGCAAGUCUGUUCUGUGCUUGACAGUUUGGAGAGAGAAUAUAGGAGAGACGAAGAUUGGUGCGCCACGGGCCAAGGAAACGUUGACAAAGCCACCGCUAUAUCACAACUGAUCAACAAACACCAGGAACAGAAAGAAGCCUUUCUGAAGGCUUGUACUUUAGCCCGAAGGACUGCCGAAACAUUUUUAAAAUACACCACUCGAAGUCUACAGUUUUAUAAUUACUCGAAUACUAGCGGAAACCACGAAGCUAGAGUUAAGGGAAUAUUGGAGAAGUUACUGAAUCAGGAGAAUAAGGUGCUAGAGCAUUGGACUCAAAGGAAAAAGAAGUUGGAUCAGUGUCAACAGUUUGUUCUGUUCGAAAGGUCUGCCAAACAAGCUAUCGAAUGGAUCCAUGAGACAGGUGAAUGUUAUCUAACGACGCAUGCAACGAAUCUAGGCAACAAUAUCGAAGAAACUGAAAGUUUACUACGUGAACACAACGAAUUUAAAGGAACUGCCAAAGAAACCCGAGAAAGAGUGAAACUGCUCAUUCAGCUUGCCGAUAGUCUCGUUGAAAAAGGACAUGCGCACGCUUGCUCCAUCAAACAAUGGGUUGAAGCUGUCGAUAAUAGAUACAAAAACUUUAGUUCUCGAAUGGAAAAUUAUCGACAACAGUUAGAAGAAACGCUGGGCAUUCAAGAAGAAGAAAGCGAGAAAAAGGAGUUGUCUAUCGAUAGAAAUUCGGAUCCUAAUUUGGAAGCCAAAGUCAAAGAAGCCGCUGCCAAAGAAUUAAAAGAAUUGAACGAGGAAAAGAGAAGAUCUGCAAGGAGGAAAGAAUUUAUAAUGGCCGAACUCCUACAAACAGAACGUACUUACGUCAAAGACUUAGAAACAUGCAUAACCUGUUUCCUGCACGAAAUGAGAAACUCACCAGCAGCAACCUCAUCUUUUCUAUCCAAAGAAAGCAUUAUUUUCGGUAAUAUGGAGGAGAUCUACGAAUUUCACAAUUCUAUAUUCUUGAAAGAACUCGAAAAGUAUGAAACGAUGCCUGAAGAUGUUGGCCAUUGUUUUGUAACGUGGGCUCAGAAAUUCGAUAUGUACGUCACUUAUUGUAAAAAUAAACCUGAAAGUAACAGUUUCUUAGUUCAAUAUGGCGGAGGAUUCUUCGAAGAGUUGCAGAAAAAGCACAAAUUAGAACAUCCUAUAGCCGCUUUCCUGAUAAAACCUGUUCAGAGAAUAACUAAGUACCAGUUACUAUUGAAAGAUCUGCAAAGUUGCUGUGAAGAAGGUCAAGGUGAAAUUAAAGAUGGUCUAGAAGUAAUGCUCAACGUUCCGAAGAAGGCGAAUGACGCGAUGCACUUGUCUCUCCUCGAAGGCUGUGAUAUAUCCGCUGAUAAGUUAGGCGAAGUCGUUCUCCAAGACGCCUUCAGUGUCUGGGAUCCCAAACAACUCAUUCGAAAAGGAAGAGAUCGACAUAUUUUUCUUUUCGAAAUGUAUCUCUUAUUUACCAAAGAAGUUAAGGACUCGGCUGGAAAAGUCAAGUACAUCUACAAAAAUAAGCUAAUGACCUCAGAACUGGGCGUAACCGAACACAUGGAAGGUGACGAAUGUAAAUUUGCCGUAUGGACCGGCCGUGCUCCAAUUUCCGACUAUCGCAUUGUACUUAGAGCUUCUUCGCUCGAGACCAAACAAUUGUGGGUGAAGAAGUUGAGAGAAGUAAUACAAGAGACUUACUUUAGCGGAGCCUUACCAUUGUCACUGCCAAAGAGUCCUGCUAAGCUGAAACCACAUAGCCAAAGAUCCAGUCGGGAUAUGGAGGAGUGCAACUCUCUAGACGAAAGCGUCGAGAAUUUAGAUCGUAAUUCCUUGACAUCUUUUGGCUCGGGGAACACCACAGACUCCGACAAGGCUGGCGUUUUAGAAAUGACUUGGGUGAUGAGCGACUUCACCGCUACCAAUCCUCUCGAGCUCAGCGUAACCAAAGGGCAGCAAGUUGAGGUAGUCGAGGUGUGCGCUUCAAAGCCGGACUUUUGCUUGGUUCGUAUGCCGACCAGAGGUACCACCGACCACGAAUCGGGCGUGGUGCCAGAAGGUUUGGUACCGCUUGCAGUUUUGAAACAACCGCCGCCGCACAGGGGUUCCCCGUCCAGACGAAUCAAUCCUCCCACGGAACAGGAAAUUGAUACUAGUCUUCAGAAUGACGCCUCCGCCGCAGUGAAUACGUCAUCUCCGGUAAAUAAAAGAAGAGGAUUCAGCGGACGGAAAUGGCUGCCACCUCCACUUCGAAAAUUGUCACAGGGUAAAGUGGACAAAGCGCAAGCCAACACACCACCACCCCUCAAAAAGACUGGUUCCGAUAAGAGAAUAAAGGUGCCAUCCGAAAUGGGCAACAAGCCCUCGGUCUCCGAAGGCGAAGAGGAAGAAGAGCGACCUACGCAGGCGCUCAAAGGCGCCAAAUCUCUCGGGUCUGAAUUAGCGAAUGGCAGCGGAGCAGCUGAAGAUGCCGACGAAGAGUUGGAGCUGCCACCGCCGAUGAAACCGAUCCAGGAGCCGAUCUUGGUGACGUCGCCGCCCCCUGGGGUUCCAGGUGUGCCGGAGAUCGAAGAGAACCCUUGCAAAAGAGUCUCUAGCUUAACAUUAAAAUCACUCGAAGGUGCUACAUCUGCGGAUUUGGCCGAAAUUGAACAGAUAGUAAAGGAAAGAAUGGAACAACAUUCAGAAAACCAAGAACGUCAUUCUCUUAUGCGAGAUGCCAAGUCAGAAAAUGCCAUUUCGGAGUACGGAGGGGAUCUAUCAGCUCAAGGUUUCUCCAACGAAGCCACAGGGUUGGCUUUCAGUGGCGAUGAAAGCGACAAGCCGUCCGAAGACAACAUGGACACCGCCAAGAAGACAGAAAUCUUAUUGAGGAAAAGGGAAUACGUUCUGCAGGAGUUAAUAGAUACUGAAGAAGCGUACGUUAGAGACUUGUCUUUAAUCGUUGAUGGUUACAUAGCUACUAUAAAGGAUCCCGAAUGUGAAAUACCCAUGCCAGAGGAUUUGAAGGAUGGAAAGGACAAACUGGUGUUUGGAAAUAUCGAAGUCAUUUAUGAUUGGCAUAAAAACUUUUUCUUAAAAUCCCUAAAACAAGCCGUAGAAAAUCCCAUUGAACUAGCUUCGCUUUUCAAACGUUAUGAACGCAAAUUACAAAUGUACGUUAUCUAUUGUAAGAACAAACAUGUAUCCGAAUAUAUAGUUUCCGAAUACCUAGAGACCUAUUUCGAAGAUUUACGGGUAAAAUUAGGACAUAAGUUGCAACUUUGUGAUUUGUUAAUCAAGCCAGUGCAAAGAAUCAUGAAAUACCAAUUGAUGCUUAAGGAUAUUUUGAAAUAUACUGAAAGGGCGGGAAUAACGGCGGAGAUUGAACCACUUAGGGCAGCAUACAACAUAAUGGUGAUCGUACCGAAGACUGCUAAUGAUAUGAUGGAUGUUGGAAGACUACAGGGAUUUGAGGGUAAAAUUACUGCACAGGGAACUCUGCUUCUGCACGGAAUGUUAACAGUUUCCGAUCUACCUGGAUCGAAUCCAAUCAUAGGCAAAAACAAGGAUUUGCAUGUAUUUUUCUUCGAACAAAGUAUUAUUUUUUCUGAAGUGGUAGGAAAGAAGACGCAGUUCACUAGUCCGCAAUAUAUUUACAAAGCUCAUAUUCAAGUCAACAAAAUGUCCUUAAACACAAAAGAAGACUGUUUUAUAUUAGAAUCGACGGAUCCCAGCCGUUGUUUGGGUUUCGUCCUGCAAGCAGGAACGGUAGAUUUGCAAGAGCAAUGGUUGAUCACUAUCCACGACACCCUUCAAAAACAGAGGGACUUCCUCAAAGCCAUCCAAAGUCCCAUAGCCUACCAGAAAGAGUUAACCACUAAAGAAGCUUCCUUAUCCGACCUAUCAAUGUGGGAAGUGGCGCCCCUAAGAAGAGCCCUACCUCAUGGAUCGCCGUCAGAGCCCAGCAAGUCCCACAAAAAGAACCAUUAUGUUCAUAAGGCUAACACCAUUGGUAUCCCAUCGGAAGACGAUUUGAACGAUAGCAAAAACAAUAAUCCACGCUCGAGACUGAACUUUUUCGAAGGCUUUAAGAAUAGUUUGAGAAACAAGCAUAAGAGUGAUACAGUGGUGUUGGAGACUGCGAAGGAGAAUAGCGAGAAGGGUGAUAUGCACAGGAGGUGGUCGGAAGCUAAUCAUACGGUAUCGUAAUAAAGAGCUUCAAAUACUACCAACUAACCAUAAGAGAUGGCUGUGAUAUGUUAUGUUAAGAUAAAUCUAUAUAAACAAUAAAACUAUUUAUUGCCGUUAGUUUUAACCUGUAUUAACAAGUUGAAAUGGAAAUAAUUGGGAAUGCAAUGCCAGUCGACACAAGUUUAUAAUUAAAAAUGGCGGAUCAUCUAAUAAUGCCUCCCGGCACUCAAGCGCGUUUGGUCUGCGAAUGGCCGCACCUCAACCUGGGGGACUUAGUCACAAUCAUCCGCUACGACCCAACCCAAGGAUAUUUUGUCCGAACCAGCUCUAGCCUGGAAGAGUUUUGGAUUCCUGCUCACGUUCUAGCCAAUUA